GGUCUUGUAGCUCAGUGGUAGAGCAUGCGAUUGCAGCUUGCAAAUUAUCGCAGGGUCCCGUGUUCGAACCACGGUAGGGCCU
Molecule: transfer RNA, 82 nt
Filed under: Ascodesmis nigricans
Lineage: Eukaryota; Fungi; Ascomycota; Pezizomycetes; Pezizales; Ascodesmidaceae
Rfam family: tRNA
About the family: Transfer RNA (tRNA) molecules are approximately 80 nucleotides in length. Their secondary structure includes four short double-helical elements and three loops (D, anti-codon, and T loops).
Source: Rfam by way of RNAcentral